GAACGCGUUUGACAUGUCUGAAUUCUGUUUGAAAAAAUAUUUGUAUCAUUGCUAAACAAAAUUUAUAUUGUUUAUUAAUAUAUAUCUGCAUUGCGCAAGGACUAUAAUUUUCCUGUCGCCGCUACCGAAACUUUGGUGCUAAGGCGGCUUUCGGGGGAAUAAACGAGUAGUGAUUAAAUAUUAUGACCAUCGCCAUUAGUCGAGACGUUUAACCCCUUUUCUCACCUCUUGCUCUCACUCUCCGUAUUACCCUAAGAGUAUCACUUUCUAAUCUCCCAUCUGCAUCAUAUCUCCAGAAGAGUCUGUACUUUCCCAUAUAAUUAAAAGAUCCUUGGAUCCUUGGAUGGGAUAGGAGCUCCUCUUCGUAUGGCUUUUCCAAUGAAAUCUUCAACUUCAAGGGUCUCCUGGGGAUAGUUUUAAAAUUCAUCCCCCAUACGAGGACGCAAGGACACAGGGAGGCAAUGCGCGCUCGAAGGAAGGAAAAAAGGGGCCGAGAAAUGGUGAUGGGACGUGUAAGGGAGCGAAGAUGCCGAGACGAACUACACGUCGCUCAUAUCAAUUUAGUGAUCAAUAGUCGACCCUAAAUUAGGUUAAGUUUUUCAGGUCCCCAUGUCUCUCGAUGUCUAUUGCCCAAAAUUUCAUCCACCACCGUGCACCAUAGUGCCACCCUCCUCCCUCGACCCCGCCCAAUCCGCCAAUUAUAUACCUAACUUAUCACCGCGCGCCACUGAUUUUCCACUGAGUGCAAAAUUCUAAUUAGACCCUUUCCGAAAAUGGCCUUUCAAACCCUUCUCUUGAGUCGUGAAAACUUUAGUCAAAUGCUGCCACGAGGGUACCAAUACGUAACCGCGGCUUGGUAAGAGUCACUGUCAAUUUUUUAAUUUUA
This is a long non-coding RNA of Cephus cinctus (wheat stem sawfly), 886 nucleotides long. RefSeq lists it as uncharacterized. The record is from RefSeq and is a predicted model, not a curated record. The transcript has 3 exons. Lineage: Eukaryota; Metazoa; Arthropoda; Insecta; Hymenoptera; Cephidae.